RNAcentral lists this ribosomal RNA (2679 nucleotides) under Klebsiella pneumoniae. Its description in RNAcentral is "bacterial LSU rRNA". It matches the Rfam family "Bacterial large subunit ribosomal RNA". The record is from RNAcentral. Lineage: Bacteria; Pseudomonadati; Pseudomonadota; Gammaproteobacteria; Enterobacterales; Enterobacteriaceae.
CGGCGAUGUCCGAAUGGGGAAACCCAGUGCAAUUCGUUGCACUAUCGUUAACUGAAUACAUAGGUUAACGAGGCGAACCGGGGGAACUGAAACAUCUAAGUACCCCGAGGAAAAGAAAUCAACCGAGAUUCCCCCAGUAGCGGCGAGCGAACGGGGAGCAGCCCAGAGUCUGAAUCAGCUUGUGUGUUAGUGGAACGGUCUGGAAAGUCCGACGGUACAGGGUGAUAGUCCCGUACACCAAAAUGCACAGGUUGUGAACUCGAAGAGUAGGGCGGGACACGUGGUAUCCUGUCUGAAUAUGGGGGGACCAUCCUCCAAGGCUAAAUACUCCUGACUGACCGAUAGUGAACCAGUACCGUGAGGGAAAGGCGAAAAGAACCCCGGCGAGGGGAGUGAAAAAGAACCUGAAACCGUGUACGUACAAGCAGUGGGAGCACCUUCGGGUGUGACUGCGUACCUUUUGUAUAAUGGGUCAGCGACUUAUAUUCUGUAGCAAGGUUAACCGUAUAGGGGAGCCGCAGGGAAACCGAGUCUUAACUGGGCGUUAAGUUGCAGGGUAUAGACCCGAAACCCGGUGAUCUAGCCAUGGGCAGGUUGAAGGUUGGGUAACACUAACUGGAGGACCGAACCGACUAAUGUUGAAAAAUUAGCGGAUGACUUGUGGCUGGGGGUGAAAGGCCAAUCAAACCGGGAGAUAGCUGGUUCUCCCCGAAAGCUAUUUAGGUAGCGCCUCGUGAACUCAUCUUCGGGGGUAGAGCACUGUUUCGGCUAGGGGGUCAUCCCGACUUACCAACCCGAUGCAAACUACGAAUACCGAAGAAUGUUAUCACGGGAGACACACGGCGGGUGCUAACGUCCGUCGUGAAGAGGGAAACAACCCAGACCGCCAGCUAAGGUCCCAAAGUCAUGGUUAAGUGGGAAACGAUGUGGGAAGGCACAGACAGCCAGGAUGUUGGCUUAGAAGCAGCCAUCAUUUAAAGAAAGCGUAAUAGCUCACUGGUCGAGUCGGCCUGCGCGGAAGAUGUAACGGGGCUAAACCAUGCACCGAAGCUGCGGCAGCGACACUAUGUGUUGUUGGGUAGGGGAGCGUUCUGUAAGCCUGCGAAGGUGACCUGCGAGGGUUGCUGGAGGUAUCAGAAGUGCGAAUGCUGACAUAAGUAACGAUAAAGCGGGUGAAAAGCCCGCUCGCCGGAAGACCAAGGGUUCCUGUCCAACGUUAAUCGGGGCAGGGUGAGUCGACCCCUAAGGCGAGGCCGAAAGGCGUAGUCGAUGGGAAACAGGUUAAUAUUCCUGUACUUGGUGUUACUGCGAAGGGGGGACGGAGAAGGCUAUGUUAGCCGGGCGACGGUUGUCCCGGUUUAAGCAUGUAGGCUGGUUGUCCAGGCAAAUCCGGAUAAUCAAGGCUGAGGUGUGAUGACGAGGCACUACGGUGCUGAAGUAACAAAUGCCCUGCUUCCAGGAAAAGCCUCUAAGCAUCAGGUAACAUCAAAUCGUACCCCAAACCGACACAGGUGGUCAGGUAGAGAAUACCAAGGCGCUUGAGAGAACUCGGGUGAAGGAACUAGGCAAAAUGGUGCCGUAACUUCGGGAGAAGGCACGCUGGUGUGUAGGUGAAGUCCCUGCGGAUGGAGCUGAGACCAGUCGAAGAUACCAGCUGGCUGCAACUGUUUAUUAAAAACACAGCACUGUGCAAACACGAAAGUGGACGUAUACGGUGUGACGCCUGCCCGGUGCCGGAAGGUUAAUUGAUGGGGUUAUCCGUAAGGAGAAGCUCUUGAUCGAAGCCCCGGUAAACGGCGGCCGUAACUAUAACGGUCCUAAGGUAGCGAAAUUCCUUGUCGGGUAAGUUCCGACCUGCACGAAUGGCGUAAUGAUGGCCAGGCUGUCUCCACCCGAGACUCAGUGAAAUUGAACUCGCUGUGAAGAUGCAGUGUACCCGCGGCAAGACGGAAAGACCCCGUGAACCUUUACUAUAGCUUGACACUGAACAUUGAGCCUUGAUGUGUAGGAUAGGUGGGAGGCUUUGAAGCGUGGACGCCAGUCUGCGUGGAGCCAACCUUGAAAUACCACCCUUUAAUGUUUGAUGUUCUAACGUUGGCCCCUUACCGGGGUUGCGGACAGUGUCUGGUGGGUAGUUUGACUGGGGCGGUCUCCUCCCAAAGCGUAACGGAGGAGCACGAAGGUUAGCUAAUCCUGGUCGGACAUCAGGAGGUUAGUGCAAUGGCAUAAGCUAGCUUGACUGCGAGCGUGACGGCGCGAGCAGGUGCGAAAGCAGGUCAUAGUGAUCCGGUGGUUCUGAAUGGAAGGGCCAUCGCUCAACGGAUAAAAGGUACUCCGGGGAUAACAGGCUGAUACCGCCCAAGAGUUCAUAUCGACGGCGGUGUUUGGCACCUCGAUGUCGGCUCAUCACAUCCUGGGGCUGAAGUAGGUCCCAAGGGUAUGGCUGUUCGCCAUUUAAAGUGGUACGCGAGCUGGGUUUAGAACGUCGUGAGACAGUUCGGUCCCUAUCUGCCGUGGGCGCUGGAGAAUUGAGGGGGGCUGCUCCUAGUACGAGAGGACCGGAGUGGACGCAUCACUGGUGUUCGGGUUGUCAUGCCAAUGGCACUGCCCGGUAGCUAAAUGCGGAAGAGAUAAGUGCUGAAAGCAUCUAAGCACGAAACUUGCCCCGAGAUGAGUUCU